GUAAUUCAAAACUUGUUCCCUCCGAGACGAUCCCGAGUAGUGCGGGGCACGUGAAACCCCGUAUGAAUCCGGCAGGACCAUCUGCCAAGGCUAAAUACUCCCUGGCGACCGAUAGUGAAGCAGUACCGUGAGGGAAAGGUGAAAAGCACCCCGGAAGGGGAGUGAAAUAGAUCCUGAAACCGUGUGCUUACAAGAAGUCAGAGCCC
Molecule: ribosomal RNA, 206 nt
Filed under: Paenibacillus terrae
Lineage: Bacteria; Bacillati; Bacillota; Bacilli; Caryophanales; Paenibacillaceae
Description: partial 23S ribosomal RNA
Rfam family: Bacterial large subunit ribosomal RNA
Source: RNAcentral